GAUGAACGCUGGCGGCGUGCUUAACACAUGCAAGUCGAACGAUGAAGCCCAGCUUGCUGGGUGGAUUAGUGGCGAACGGGUGAGUAACACGUGAGUAACCUGCCCUUAACUCUGGGAUAAGCCUGGGAAACUGGGUCUAAUACCGGAUAGGAGCGUCCACCGCAUGGUGGGUGUUGGAAAGAUUUAUCGGUUUUGGAUGGACUCGCGGCCUAUCAGCUUGUUGGUGAGGUAAUGGCUCACCAAGGCGACGACGGGUAGCCGGCCUGGGAGGGUGACCGGCCACACGAGGCCUGGGAUACGGCCCAGACUCGAAUGUGAGGCAGAGGGGGGGAAUAUUGUACAAGGGUAGCGAGCCUGAGGCGACGAAGCCGCGUGGGGGAAGACGGCCUUCGGGUUGUAAACCGCUUUCAGUUUGGAAGAAGCGAAAGUGACGGUACCUGCAGAAGAAGCACCGGCUAACUACGUG
Molecule: ribosomal RNA, 466 nt
Filed under: uncultured bacterium
Lineage: Bacteria
Description: partial 16S ribosomal RNA
Rfam family: Bacterial small subunit ribosomal RNA
Source: RNAcentral